GACGUAGGGCGCGAGCGUUGUCCGGAUUUAUUGGGCGUAAAGAGCUCGUAGGCGGCUUGUCGCGUCGACUGUGAAAACCCACGGCUCAACUGUGGGCUUGCAGUCGAUACGGGCAGGCUAGAGUUCGGUAGGGGAGACUGGAAUUCCCGGUGUAGCGGUGAAAUGCGCAGAUAUCAGGAGGAACACCGGUGGCGAAGGCGGGUCUCUGGGCCGAUACUGACGCUGAGGAGCGAAAGCGUGGGGAGCGAACAGG
RNAcentral lists this ribosomal RNA (253 nucleotides) under uncultured bacterium. Its description in RNAcentral is "partial 16S ribosomal RNA". It matches the Rfam family "Bacterial small subunit ribosomal RNA", at positions 524 to 776 of the family's 1533-position model. The record is from RNAcentral.